This 378-nucleotide long non-coding RNA is filed under the name Gossypium raimondii (Peruvian cotton). RNAcentral describes it as "long non-coding RNA (GRAI_LNC008973)". The record is from RNAcentral. Lineage: Eukaryota; Viridiplantae; Streptophyta; Magnoliopsida; Malvales; Malvaceae.
UUGAACCCAUGGUUCAUACAUUUCAUUACAAUUAUCACUACUAAUAAACAUUUCAAUGUUUUAAUAUUAUCAAUUAUUUAUAUAUAUAAAUAUCAUUCUUAUUUCUUUAUUUCAAAUUUCACUUUUCACAUAUACUAUAUCAUUCGAGAUUAGUUUUAUCAGUAAUUUAUUUCAUUUGCCUCUAUUAACUUGACUCGGACUCUGACAGAUACGCGGAUUCCACCCAAACACACCAGAAUAUCCAACCAAAACACACCUGAAAUAAAUAUAAACCCUCCAUAACACACCGAUAUAUCAUAUCCUCCCAAACACACCAAUAAUGCAUUAAAUGCCUCUUCGGAUAAACCGAAGCAUAUAAUAACAUAAUCAUCUUCUCGG